Molecule: ribosomal RNA, 423 nt
Filed under: uncultured prokaryote
Description: bacterial SSU rRNA
Rfam family: Bacterial small subunit ribosomal RNA
Source: RNAcentral
UCUUGAAUCUUCGGCAAUGCACUAAAGUGUGACCGAGCGACGCCGCGUGGAGGCUAAGGCCUUCUGGUUGUAAACUCCUGUCAGGAUCUAGGAAUGCAUUAGUGUUAACAGCGCUGAUGUUGACCCGAUCCAGAGGAAGCCACAGCUAACUUCGUGCCAGCAGCUGCGGUAAGACGAAGGUGGCAAGCGUUAUUCGGAAUGACUGGGCUUAAAGGGCGUGUAGGCGGCUAUGCAAGUCAGGUGUGAAAUCCCGGGGCUCAACUCCGGAACUGCGCUUGAUACUGCGUGGCUAGAGGAAGACAGUGGAUUGCGGAACUCACGGUGGAGCGGUGAAAUGCGUAGAGAUCGUGGGGAACACCCGAGGCGAAGGCGGCAAUCUGGGUCUUUUCUGACGCUGAGGCGCGAAAGCGUGGGGAUCAAACA